Molecule: unclassified non-coding RNA, 853 nt
Filed under: Dicephalospora rufocornea
Lineage: Eukaryota; Fungi; Ascomycota; Leotiomycetes; Helotiales; Helotiaceae
Description: partial contains ITS1, 5.8S rRNA, ITS2
Rfam family: 5.8S ribosomal RNA (bases 205-358)
Source: RNAcentral
CCUUCCGUAGGGGGAACCUGCGGAAGGAUCAUUACAGGGUUCUUUUCCUGCCCUUUUCAGGGUAGAGAAUCCCCAUCCUUGUGUAUAUUAUGUUUGUUGCUUUGGCAGGCUGCCCUCGGGCCUGGGCUUCGGCUCGGCUACGCCUGCCAGAGGACCCCUCAACUCUGAAUUGUUAGUGUCGUCUGAGUACUAUAUAAUAGUUAAAACUUUCAACAACGGAUCUCUUGGUUCUGGCAUCGAUGAAGAACGCAGCGAAAUGCGAUAAGUAAUGUGAAUUGCAGAAUUCAGUGAAUCAUCGAAUCUUUGAACGCACAUUGCGCCCCUUGGUAUUCCGAGGGGCAUGCCUGUUCGAGCGUCAUUGAAAAACUCCUGCCCUGCAGGGUCUUGGGCUCCGUCGCGGGACGGGCCUGAAAAUCAGUGGCGGCGUCCGUCGACCCUAAGCGUAGUAAAUCUCCUCGCUACAGGGCCUCGGCGGGUAGCUAGCCAUAACCCCAACUCUCAAUGUUUGACCUCGGAUCAGGUAGGGAUACCCGCUGAACUUAAGCAUAUCAAUAAGCGGAGGAAGGAUCAUUACAGGGUUCUUUUCCUGCCCUUUUCAGGGUAGAGAAUCCCAUCCUUGUGUAUAUUAUGUUUGGUGCUUUGGCAGGCUGCCCUCGGUCUGGGCUUCGCUCUGCUACCCUGCCGAAGACCCUCACUCCUAAAUGGUUAGUGUCGUCUGAGUUACUAUAUAAUAGUUAAAGACUUUUCACAACGAUCUCUUGGAUUCUGGCAUCAUGAAGAACCAGCAAAUGCAGUAAGUAAUGUGAUUGCAGAAUUCAUGAUUCAUCACCUUGAGCAUUGCUUGCUAUUCGAG